AUUGAACGCUGGCGGCAUGCCUUACACAUGCAAGUCGAACGGUAACAGGUCUUCGGAUGCUGACGAGUGGCGAACGGGUGGGUAAUACAUCGGAACGUGCCUAGUAGUGGGGGAUAACUACUCGAAAGAGUGGCUAAUACCUCAUGAGAUCUACGGAUUAAAGCAGGGGAUCGCAAGACCUUGUGCUACUAUAGCGGCCGAUGGCAGAUUAGGUAGUUGGUUGGAUAAAAGCUUACCAAGCCGACGAUUUGUAGCUGGGCUGAGAGGACGAUCAGCCACACUGGGACUGAGACACGGCCCAGACUCCUACGGGAGGAAGCAGUGGGGAAUUUUGGACAAUGGGCGCAAGGCUGAUCACGCAAUGCCGCGUGCAGGAUGAAGUCCUUCGGGUUGUAAACUGCUUUUGUACGGAACGAAAAGCCCCGGGUUAAUACCCUGGGGUCAUGACGGUACCGUAAGAAUAAGCACCGGCUAACUACGUGCCAGCAGCCGCGGUAA
This 498-nucleotide ribosomal RNA is filed under the name uncultured bacterium. Its description in RNAcentral is "partial 16S ribosomal RNA". It matches the Rfam family "Bacterial small subunit ribosomal RNA", at positions 30 to 523 of the family's 1533-position model. The record is from RNAcentral.